CUCCGGUUUCCUCCCACAGUCCAAAGACAUGCUGGUUAGGUGGAUUGCCGAUUCUAAAUUGGCCCUAGUGUGUGUUUGUGUGUGUCCUGCGGUGGGUUGGCACCCUGCCCAGGAUUGGUUCCUGCCUUGUGCCCUGUGUUGGCUGG
This is a long non-coding RNA of Erpetoichthys calabaricus (reedfish), 146 nucleotides long. RefSeq lists it as uncharacterized. The transcript is spliced from 2 exons. The record is from RefSeq and is a predicted model, not a curated record. Lineage: Eukaryota; Metazoa; Chordata; Cladistia; Polypteriformes; Polypteridae.